UGCCGGUUAGCUCAGUCAGUUAGAGCGUGGUGCUGAUAACACCAAGGUUGCGGGUUCAAUCCCAAUUCGGUUC
RNAcentral lists this transfer RNA (73 nucleotides) under Apaloderma vittatum (bar-tailed trogon). It matches the Rfam family "tRNA". Rfam says of the family: Transfer RNA (tRNA) molecules are approximately 80 nucleotides in length. Their secondary structure includes four short double-helical elements and three loops (D, anti-codon, and T loops). Lineage: Eukaryota; Metazoa; Chordata; Aves; Trogoniformes; Trogonidae. The record is from Rfam by way of RNAcentral.